This 460-nucleotide ribosomal RNA is filed under the name uncultured bacterium. RNAcentral's name for it is "partial 16S ribosomal RNA". It matches the Rfam family "Bacterial small subunit ribosomal RNA", at positions 338 to 795 of the family's 1533-position model. The record is from RNAcentral.
CCUACGGGCGACAGCAGUGAGGAAUAUUGGUCAAUGGGCGAGAGCCUGAACCAGCCAAGUCGCGUGAAGGAUGACGGCGCUACGGGUUGUAAACUUCUUUUGUCAGGGAGCAAUUGAGUCCACGUGUGGGCUUAGCGAGAGUACCUGCAGAAAAAGCAUCGGCAAACUCCGUGCCAGCAGCCGCGGUAUUACGGAGGAUGGGAGCGUUAUCCGGAUUUAAGGGGGUUAAAGGGUGCGUUGGAGGAAUAUCAAGUCAGCGGGAAAAAUUCGGGGCUCAACCCCGUCGUGCCGUUGAAACUGGUGAUCUUGAGGGGGCGAGAAGUAUGCGGAAUGCGUGGUGUAGCGGUGAAAUGCAUAGAUAUCACGCAGAACUCCGAUGGCGAAGGCAGCAUACCGGCGCCCAACUGACGCUGAAGAACGAAAGCGUGGGUAGCGAACAGGAUUAGAUACCCCUGUAGUC